CUUUCGACAUUCCCUUGAAAUUCGGGCGGAUUGCCGCCAUAAUCGCCGCAUGGUUGUAACUCCGGCAAUCUGGAGGCGUUCUGGACAGGGGUUCGAUUCCCCUCACCUCCACCUAAGGGCAUCGGGGUGUUCUUAGGUGGGGGUGCACUGGCUUCGACAGGGCGGACAAAGGUGCGCAGGCAACCCGAAAGGCGACGAACGUAAUUCGCGCAAAUCCACAAACGCCAACGAUGAGCGUUUCGCACUGGCCGCCUAAGGCCUGUGCCGAGGCCGCAUUAGCCUUGUAACCAAAGAAAUGCCGGCGGGGACUUCGGUCCCCGUCGUCA
This 326-nucleotide transfer-messenger RNA is filed under the name Sulfuritalea sp. It matches the Rfam family "Betaproteobacteria transfer-messenger RNA". From Rfam's summary of the family: Bacterial tmRNA, also known as 10Sa RNA or SsrA, is named for its dual tRNA and mRNA-like properties. Its role is to liberate the mRNA from a stalled ribosome. To accomplish this part of the tmRNA is used as a reading frame that ends in a translation stop signal. Lineage: Bacteria; Pseudomonadati; Pseudomonadota; Betaproteobacteria; Nitrosomonadales; Sterolibacteriaceae. The record is from RNAcentral.